GCGUUAUCCGGAAUUAUUGGGCGUAAAGCGUCCGCAGGCGGCCUUUCAAGUCUGCUGUUAAAGCGUGGAGCUUAACUCCAUUAUGGCAGUGGAAACUGAUCGGCUUGAGUAUGGUAGGGGCAGAGGGAAUUCCCGGUGUAGCGGUGAAAUUCGUAGAUAUUGGAUGGAACACCAGUGGCGAAGGCGAUUUCUGGACUGAUAUUGACGCUGAGAUGCGAAGGCAUGGGUAGCAAACGGGAUUAGAUACCCCGGUAGUCCAUGCAGUAAACGAUGGGUGCUAGUCGUCGGACUUAUGUUCGGUGUCGUAGCUAACGCGUUAAGCACCCCGCCUGGGGAGUACGGUCGCAAGAUUAAAACUCAAAUAAAUUGACGGGGACCCGCACAAGCAGUGGAGCAUGUGGUUUAAUUCGACGCAACGCGAAGAACCUUACCAGCUUUUGACAUGGGAAGUACCGGUUACAGAAUGGUAACCUUCAGUUCGGCUGGCUUCUACACAGGUGCUGCAUGGCU
This 510-nucleotide ribosomal RNA is filed under the name uncultured bacterium. RNAcentral's name for it is "bacterial SSU rRNA". It matches the Rfam family "Bacterial small subunit ribosomal RNA", at positions 538 to 1050 of the family's 1533-position model. The record is from RNAcentral.